UACGUAGGUGGCAAGCGUUGUCCGGACUUACUGGGCGUAAAGGAUGCGUAGGCGGACAUUUAAGUCAGAUGUGAAAUACCCGAGCUUAACUUGGGUGCUGCAUUUGAAACUGGGUGUCUAGAGUGCAGGAGAGGUAAGUGGAAUUCCUAGUGUAGCGGUGAAAUGCGUAGAGAUUAGGAAGAACACCAGUGGCGAAGGCGACUUACUGGACUGAUAACUGACGCUGGAGGCAUGAAAGCGUGGGGAGCAAACAGG
RNAcentral lists this ribosomal RNA (255 nucleotides) under uncultured bacterium. RNAcentral describes it as "partial 16S ribosomal RNA". It matches the Rfam family "Bacterial small subunit ribosomal RNA", at positions 524 to 776 of the family's 1533-position model. The record is from RNAcentral.